GCGUCCUUGCACAGAAUUGGUAAUGUAGCGAGCUUUUAACUCGUCACCCUUUAGGGUAUUGUAGGUUCAAGUCCUACAGGGCGCA
This 85-nucleotide transfer RNA is filed under the name Ulva prolifera. RNAcentral's name for it is "tRNA-Lys". It matches the Rfam family "tRNA". From Rfam's summary of the family: Transfer RNA (tRNA) molecules are approximately 80 nucleotides in length. Their secondary structure includes four short double-helical elements and three loops (D, anti-codon, and T loops). The record is from RNAcentral. Lineage: Eukaryota; Viridiplantae; Chlorophyta; Ulvophyceae; Ulvales; Ulvaceae. RNAcentral also lists the same sequence under 6 other names.